UACGUAGGGGGCAAGCGUUGUCCGGAUUCAUUGGGCGUAAAGAGCGUGUAGGCGGCCAGGUAGGUCGGUUGUGAAAACUGGAGGCUCAACCUUCAGAGGUCGACCGAAACCAUCUGGCUAGAGUCCGGGAGAGGAGAGUGGAAUUCCUGGUGUAGCGGUGAAAUGCGCAGAUAUCAGGAAGAACACCCGUGGCGAAAGCGGCUCUCUGGAACGGUACUGGCGCUGAGACGCGAAAGCGUGGGGAGCGAACAGG
This 253-nucleotide ribosomal RNA is filed under the name uncultured bacterium. Its description in RNAcentral is "partial 16S ribosomal RNA". It matches the Rfam family "Bacterial small subunit ribosomal RNA", at positions 524 to 776 of the family's 1533-position model. The record is from RNAcentral.